This is a long non-coding RNA of Podarcis raffonei (Aeolian wall lizard), 2117 nucleotides long. RefSeq lists it as uncharacterized. NCBI's taxonomy places the organism in Eukaryota, Metazoa, Chordata, Lepidosauria, Squamata, Lacertidae. The record is from RefSeq and is a predicted model, not a curated record. The transcript is spliced from 3 exons.
UGAGGCUAUUAGUGGCAAGGCUGCCGCCCAUUCUCCUGACCCUGGCGCUAUUUAGAUACGCUCCGCCACUGACAGGAGUCUCCUCACAGCACGCUUAACAAACUACAGUUGCCAGGAUGCUUUGGGGAAGCCAUGACUGUUUAAAGUGGUACAAUGCUGCUUUAAAUGUAUAGUGCAGAAAGGGCCUUGCUCUUUAUUUUUUAAUUUCUUCCUCAUUAACUCCCUACCGCCAUUGCUAAGCGACAUCUCAAAGAAGGCGUCUUGCCCUCCUUCCACCAUUGCUAAGCAACACCUCAUGGGAGUAACUGUCAGUUCCAACUGCCAACUUGAGGGAGUAACUGUCAGUUCCAACCAGGGUGGAUUUGAUUUAAAUCACGAUUUAAAUCACUAGUCAGUAAGACUUGAUUUAAAUCAUUAUUUUUGUUACAGAAAGACUCAUUCUUGCUGGUAUAAUCUUAAUAUUUACAACCAGAUGAAGAUCCCCUUUACAAUAAAGACAUUUUCAAGUAAAGCAGCAGAGCACAGAAACCUGGCCUAGAGCAAUUCCAAUUCUAGGUAACUGUGAUGUCAAAUUCUACCACAGAGAGCAAAAGGAGUUCACAGAACUAUGAAUUAAGCCUCGUAUGUCCCUUGGCAGCUGUGUUUCCUUGACGCCUCUGAGUAUUAAACAGUCUGCUCCAAAGGGAGAAUUGCUCCAAUCCCUUGAUCAUUUUGGUUGAUCUUCUCUGAACUUCUGCUAGAGGUAAGAAAUGUACCAGAAAUGUGCACAGUAUUUCCAGGAUGGUGUUCAAAACUCACCAAAGAUUUGUAUAACCGCAUUAUGAUAUUGACAGUUUCAUUUUCAUUCCUGUGACUAGUGAUUCCUAACUCGGAAUUCACAUUUUCCACAGCUGCCACACCCUAGGUUGACAUCUUCAUCAAUCUAUCUGCUAGAACUAAUUUUCUAUGUGCCUGGAACUUUCUUCAUGUCAAAGAACAAUCAUGUGAGACACACUUGCAGUUCUACUUCAGUGAGAACUGGGUCUUGCAGGAAGGAAUGUGUAAAUGUUUGUUAUAAACAUCUGCAAUGUUUAUUAUUACUAGUGAAUUUUUAUAGAAACAUCUAUGUACGUAGUGCUUUACAAAGAACACAGCUGACAUCUUCCUCCUCCAAAGGGACUUUGCACCCUAAGUAUUUCAAAUAGGCAUUCAGAUAAUCUUUAUUAUCACACCCUGCAUAAUGUGGAAUAACUCAGUGUUCGCCAAGACCUCAGUCACGUAGCAACAUGGACUCGUAUUUUAUUUCUAUUCAGAUAUCCACCCUGCUUCGUAAAGCACAAGUAGGAAACCUUAGUCACAGGGGCCAAAGGUGGCUGCCCAGACCCUCCCCAAGCCACAAUCUUUACUGGCUCUGUUCCAGGCCCUCCUUUUAAGUGAUUCUGCCAGGGUAGAGGUGGGAAUGUGUCCUGGCACUGUGAUAAUACCUCAGUUGCCUGGAUGGAUGGAUGGAUGGAAAGAUUUUGUGGGUGUGUAGAAAGCCAACCUGUUUGUGACUAGAAUGUAGCCUACUAUACAAAGGCGAGUGUCAUAUAUUUUGAAUCUGGCCCUGCCCAGAACUAGCAUAUGGUCCCUGAAAGGUCUCCCAUGCAGGAAUGCAGCAGUCAGGCUGCAAAAGGUUCGCCAUCCCUGUCAUAAACCAUGCUCUCAAAUAUCUUUUCAAUUAAAAAUCAAGAACAGUAGAACUCAGCAAAACCAAAAUAAAGGAAAUGCACACUAAGUUAAGACCAUCAACUUGGCCACAAAAAGACCCAUUUCCAGAACAAUUAUCUGCCUUCCCCUGGUCUGCAAAACAAGAAUAUUUUAACCACCUACAGCCUGGGAGAGAGUUUGAUUAACAUAAUUCUGUGGCUAGGGAAACUUUUAAGUUCCUUCCUGUGGGUAACACCACUUGGCUGGGGAAAAAACAUGAAACAGGAGAGUCACAUAUUUCCCGAGUUUUUUCUCCCUUUGCAUAAAAGUAGCUGCUGGGGUGACUUAACCCUUUCCCUAACACCAUUUUCUAUAUGUAAAUCAAGCCCUUUAGUUGGGACAGCCUUUUAUUGCAUAAUUUUGUUGUUGUUUAGUCGUUUAGUCAUGUC